CUACUCCCUCGUUUCUUCUGCCGCAAUUACACUGCCAACUAGGUUCAGGAAUGGGGGUGGAACAUGUGCUGGAUACAGCUGAGAGAAGUUCGCAUGAAACAAUGCUGGAAACCAUUGAGGCCCUGCUUGAGGAGCAGAGGUUGGACAUAAUAAACAUGCUGUAAAGCUGUAAGCUUUCGAGCAGCCUGUUUAUCUUCUAUUAGCCACCAAGAGCUUUGCAUAGUAUGGUCAGGAAGUCUUGUACUAAGGAUUUGAAGGAAAAGCUUUGUGUUAGAAUCGUGUAUGAAUGUAUAGACAUAGCCUUUUAAUCAAGCUUGGACUUGACACUAAUGCAGUAUGCGCCACAAAGCUCAUCAACAAGUAUCUGUCCUUAGGGCUUGCCAACUCUCUCAGUCAUGCCCACCAACUGUUUGAUCAAGUACCUUUGAAAGACCCACCUUUAUGGACAUCCCUAAUCUCCGCUUAUGCUCGCCACAACCAACUUGACAAUGCCCUCCAUCUCUUCUCCCUUAUGCUCCGGCAAACCCAACCAGAUUUAGAUGCCCGACCAAAUCACUUUGUCAUCACUGCUGUUGCCCGGGCCAUUGCAUUUGCUCCACAACACAUCUUUUUGGGCCAACUUCUUCAUGCCCAUGUUAUCAAAUCUGGAUUUUUACCUGGAAAAGUCAUCGUUGAAACUGCCUUUCUUGAUAUGUAUUCCAAGUGUGGGGUCAUAGAGUCUGCAAGGAAGUUGUUUGAGGAAAUGCCAUACAGAAACUUAGUGACUUGUAAUGCUAUGUUGUCUGGGUACAUGCAAAAUGGAAUGGAAACUCAUGGGUCAAAGUUGUUCUACCGGAUGAAGUGUGGAGAGGUUUAUGCACCUGAUGAGUAUAGUAUUUCAACUGUGUUGUCUGGUUGUGUACAAACUCAAGAUCUUGUUUUGGGUAUGCAAGUUCAUGCGUAUGCAAUUGUUGGUGGUUUUGAAGUAAAUUGUGCAAAUUCAAUUGCUAAUAUGUAUUUUUCUUGUGGUAGAAUUGCCUGUGCCACGAAAAUUAUGGAUGCAGUCUACCAGGAUACUGUUUCAAAGCUUUUAAGCAUAAGAGGUUAUAUUUUAAAUCACAGUUAUGUUGCUGCAUUUAGGUAUGUUUGCUCUCUGGGUAAUGUAGUUGAAAUUUUAAACACAGAUUAUACAAUUUUUGUGCCUCUACUAACUAUCUGCACAAAGUUAUCUCUGGUCAGAGUCGGGAAGCAAGUCCAUGGCCUCUUUAUUGCUAUGACAAAUUCAUAUAAGAUUAUUAAUCCAUUAGGGGAGGAUGGGGUAAUUAUUGGUAGUGCAUUAAUUGAUAUGUAUUGCAAAUGUGGUGAUGUUGGUGAAGGCAAGAAAGUUUUUGAAACAUGGCCGUGUGAACAUGUUUCACUCUGGAACGCAUUAAUAUCUGGUUAUAUAUCCAAUGGCCUUAUUGAGACUGCUAAUGUUCUGUUUCAGGCUAUGCCCAAGAAAGAUAUUGUUUCUUGGACUAGCAUGAUCACAGGAUUUGUGCGGAAUAACAUGCCCCAAGAAGGAUUAGAUUUAUUGGCUAAAAUGUAUUGCACUGAAGGCGGAUAUGAGAUUGAUGGAAACUGCUUAACUUUUGUAGUGUGCCUGGAAGCAUGCACCCAUCUAACAGAUUUGGAAAAAGGAAAGCAGAUACAUGCAAAAAUCAUUAGGAGAUUACCCGGUGUAGAUACUAGUAAUGUGGUUGUUGGAACAGCUUUAGUAGAAAUGUAUUCUAGAUCAGGCAAUUUGCAUUACUCACACACAGUUUUUGAUUCAAUGAAGCAGAAAAACAUCGUUGCAUGGACAUCUAUUCUCACGGGUUUUGCAGCCCAUGGGUGUGGUUUACAAGCCCUUGAAAUGUUCCAAAAAAUGCUAGAUAAUGGCAUUCAGCCAAAUGAAGUGACAUUUGUCACAAUAUUAACUGCGUGCAGUCAUUGUGGUUUGGUGAAUGAGGGACUGCAAUAUUUUAAGGAGAUGAAGAAGUAUGGGUUGACGCCAAAGGAAGAUCAUUAUACUUGUUUAAUUGAUAUGUUGGGACGAAAUGGAAUGCUUGAAGAGGCAUGGCAUUUGGUGAGGGAAGUUGAAGAGCUGGGUAAUAAGUCUUAUGCAGGUUCCAUUUGGGCUGCAUUGCUUGGGGCUUGCCAAUUGUACGAAAACGUUGAAAUUGGAAGAAAGGUAGCACAGAAGAUGUUGGAAAAUGAAAAGCAGAUUUCAGCGACCUGUAUUGCAUUAUAUAAUGUCUUUGCAACAGCAGGGAUGUGGAAUGAAGCAUAUGAAACAAGAGAGUUUUUGACCAGAGAAGGAAUUGCCAAUGGAGAGGCUGGCCUUAGUCGCCUCUGCAUGCCUCCUCUUUGAUCUGACCAUUUCAAGCAACUUUAGUCAUUUAGUGACAGCAAAGGUUUUGGCCGCAGUCUAAAAAGUGGCUGCAAGGUAUAAUGAUAUUGAAGAUAUAAUGAGCUUAGUAUCCUCCGGCAUAUCUCUUAAUUCAAAGGAUUCACAGGGCCGAACUGCACUGCAUAUGGCUUCUGCUAAUGGGCAUUGUGACAUUG
RNA transcript from Ipomoea triloba (trilobed morning glory), 2565 nucleotides. It is a transcript of the gene named ankyrin repeat-containing protein P16F5.05c, with no coding region annotated. The transcript is spliced from 4 exons. Lineage: Eukaryota; Viridiplantae; Streptophyta; Magnoliopsida; Solanales; Convolvulaceae. The record is from RefSeq and is a predicted model, not a curated record.